CCCUACGGGGUGCAGCAUGCGCGAAAACUUUGCAAUGCGGGAAACCGUGAUAGGGGAACUCCGAGUGCCCGUUAAAUCGGGCUGUCCAUCAGUUUAAAUAACUGGUGAAGAAAGGGCCGGGCAAGACCGGUGCCAGCCGCCGCGGUAAUACCGGCGGCUCGAGUGGUGGCCACUAUUACUGGGCUUAAAGCGUUCGUAGCUGGUUUGUUAAGUCUCUGGGGAAAUCUUCCGGCUUAACCGGAAGGCGUUUCAGGGAUACUGGCAGACUAGGGACCGGGAGAGGUGAGGGGUACUCCAGGGGUAGGAGUGAAACCCUGUAAUCCUUGGGGGACCACCUGUGGCGAAGGCGCCUCACCAGAACGGCUCCGACAGUGAGGGACGAAAGCUGGGGGAGCAAACCGGAUUAGAUACCCGGGUAGUCCCAGCCGUAAACGAUGUGCGUUAGGUGUGUCGGUGACCACGAGUCACCGAGGUGCCGAAGAGAAAUCGUGAAACGUACCGCCUGGGAAGUACGGUCGCAAGGCUGAAACUUAAAGGAAUUGGCGGGGGAGCACA
This 555-nucleotide ribosomal RNA is filed under the name uncultured archaeon. Its description in RNAcentral is "bacterial SSU rRNA". It matches the Rfam family "Archaeal small subunit ribosomal RNA", at positions 321 to 880 of the family's 1478-position model. The record is from RNAcentral.